UCGAAUCAGCUACAGCUGCUGGCCUACACCACAGCCACAGCAAUGCAGGAUCAGAGCCUCAUCUUCAACCUACACCGCAGCUCACAACAAUGCCAGAUCCCUGACCCACUAAGCGAGGCCAGGGAUUGAACCCCCAUCCUGAUGAAUACUAGUCAGGUUCAUUUCUGCUGUGCUACAUCGGGAACUCCCCAUCCUCAACUUCCUAAUUUAUAAAGUGGGAAGAAUAAUAGAACCCAAUUUAAGGGGCUGUAAUUUUAUUUUUUUUUGAUAGGCAAGAAAUAGAUUUAUUAACAUAGGACACUUGUGAGAGAUGCAAGUGGGCAGGCAAGGAGGCUCUGACCUAGGGCCAUAAUUUUUAAAAAAAAAUUAAAUGAGCUAAUAUAUGUACAAAUCCCUAGUACCUGGGACCUAGUAAGUAUUUAAUACAUGUUACCUAUUAUUAUAAAAAUAAUAUAUUAUUAUUAAAUGAGGAACUAAUCUAUUUUCAACCUAGAUGUCCUUGCUGUGACCUCUUUCCUCCCCUGCAUCUUCCCCCAUCGAAUCCCCCUUGGUACAAAAGCUGUUUGGAGACUAUUUCUGCCCGAGGAUAUGAAUUUGGAAAGAAAACAAAAAUAAGGCAAUCAGGCUACAAAAAUUCCUCUUUGCCAAGAUGGCUUUGAGCCAGGCCUGCUGGCAGUCAGAAUGCAUGAACCAAGGGGAGAUGAAGGGUACAGUUGCCUCCAGAAAAAUGCCACUACCAGGUUCAAUCUCUGGCCUGACGUCAGAGCUUGCCUCCUCCGUGACAAAGCAAGCUGGACUGGACAAGUAGCCUUUGCUGGCCCAGAAGCCCCUGCAGAGGUCAGGACCAAAUCUGCAAGUAUUACUCAGCCUGACACUCCCACCAGGAGAGUGAGGGCAGAGCCAGGACCACCAGGUAGGUCUCCUCUCACAGAGCCAGGCAGGCCGGGCCAGGAAGUAACAACACAUCCAUUCCCAGGCAGACCAGAGGGGUGCUUCCUUCAUGUACCCAUAGGCAAUGUAACUAUAGCAUGACAUCAGAACAGUCAGGACUGAGCCAAAGUCAAGGAUGAGAGAGAGGGUCCAGCCUUCCAGGAAGAGGGAAAACAAGUGAAGAGUUCCCGAGGGAGGAAGGUGAGUACAAGAGUGAAUAGAAGGUCACUGUAAGCUGGACAGCAGAGAGCCAGGGCCUGAGUGGCUCCAGAGAAGGGCGGGGCGGGGGGGGGGGGGGGCGGUGGCGGGGACUUGACCCCCAGAACCUCUGGCUCUGUUGAAGACUUUCGUUUUUAUCCUAAUGCAAAUGGAACAUUUUAAGUAGAAGAGAGACAAGCUCAGAUGUGCAAUGUUUAAACAAUUCACUCAACAAAUAUUUUUGGAGUUCCUGUUGUGGCUCAGUGGUUAAGGAACCCAACUAUCAUCCAUGAGGACAAAGGUUUGAUCCCUGACCUCACUCAGUGGGUUAAGGAUGUGGCGUUGCCAUGAGCUGUGGUGUAGGUUGCAGACACGGCUCAGAUCCUGAGUUGCUGUGGCUGUGGUGGAGGCCGGCGGCUACAGCUCCGAUUGGACCCCUAGCCUGGGAACUUCCAUAUGCCGUUGGUGUGGCCCUAAAAGACAAAAACAAAGAAUAAAACAAAACAAAAAAUAUUCUUGAGUACCUACAACAAAUUAUGCAAGAUAGUAAGAAGAAUGCUAUGGAAAAAAUAACACAUUGAAUUUUCAGUUUCACAGGGCAGUAGGGCUAGUAACCAAAAUGAUUGAUCAUCAUAUCAGGUGGAGAGAUAACGUCUUAAAAGAAAAGUUUUGUAAAUGGAGUGUAUAUGAUUAUGAGGCAGAAGAGGGUGUUUCUGAGAGAUGCAGAAAGCUUCAUGAAGAAAGCAGAGAGGGAGUUCCCAUAGUGGCUCCGUGGUAAUGAACCCAACUACGAUCCGUGAAGAUGCAAGUUCUAUCCCUGGCCUCGCUCACCGAGUUAAGGAUCUGGCAUUGCCAUGAGCUGUGGUGUAGGUCACAGAUGAGGCUUGAACCCUGUGUUGCUGUGGCUGUGGUACAGGCCAGCAGCUACAGCUCCAAUUGGACCCCUAACCUGGAAACCUCCAUAUGCCGCAGGUGCAGCCCUAAAAAUGACCAAGAAAAAAAAAAGUGUCUGAUGGCCCAAGCCCACAGUCUGGCUCUACCAUCGACGUAAGAGUUGUGAGACCUGAGCAAAUUGCUUCACCUCCCUUUUCUUUAGCAGUAUUUUUAUUCAAGCCAGAGCAUAAAAGAGAAAUAGGAUCUGGAUAUACAGAGAUGGGGGAAGGAGGGGCGGGGGUGGGAGCGUGGCUGGGAAGAACAUCAGUCAAGACAGGGAGACCUCGAAAAUGAGACGAGGCAGCUCCACUCGGCAGGAGACCAAGUGUGUUAGUAGAAACAUGAAGUUGUGAAGGGUAUUAACACGUUUUGGAUUUUUACCAGGUGCCAGAAGUCUGCACGCAUUAAUGCAUUUCAUCUUCACAACAACCCUACAAGAAGGAGGGAUUUCUUUUCUUUCACUUACUAGGCCUUUGGUGCUCGGAGAUGCUGAGCAGCUCGACCGAGCUUGUAGGUGGAAGAGAAUGGAUGGAGACCCCAAUCCUCUCCCACCAAAGUUCAAACGUGCUCCACUCUGACCGCGCCCACACCCACCGCCAGAGUGGGACGGCAUCUUCUCCCGAGCGAUUGCCCCCACGAGCCCCAAGCACAGAGGGGUGUGAUUGUGGACAUGCCGGAGCCUCAUCUACAUCUGCAAAGGUAGUUCUGGAAAACGUAUUCAAAAAUGCUUUGCGCGAAAAGAUAUUGUCAGACUGAGGACAAUGCCUUCCCAAGGGGGGCUCUUUGUGGAGUCCUUUGGAUAUGCAAGAUCUCUGGUGGGUUUUAUUUUUUUAUUUUUUACUUUUUCGUCUUCCCCCCCGCCCCCCGCCAGGGCCACACCCAUGGCAUAUGGAGGUGUCCGGGCUAGGGGUCAAAUCGGAGUUGUAGCCGUCGGCCUACGCCACAGCUACAGAAACACCAGAUCCGAGCCGCGUCUGCGACCUACACCACAGCUCACGGCAACACUUAACCCACUGAGCAAGGUCAGGGAUUGAACCCAAAACCUCAUGGUUCCCAGUUGGAUUCAUUAACCACUGCGCCACGACGGGAACUCCUCUGGUGGUUUUUAAAGCAUCCACCUACUUUCCAAUCACACCUCUUUGUUACCUUGGAGUAGUAACAAAUUAAGCCGGAAUCAGCUAUUCACACUGAAUGAUUUUAUAAAGCUUGCUUCGCUCCCACAGCUUCGCUACUUUAAAUGCAAGCCACUUGCCUAAGGAAGCAGAUAAGGUGGAAACUGCAUUAAAAGAAGGUGGCAUAAAUCAUACUUCAAGAUCCCAGACACGUUCCUUCCAGAAUUCCUUUUUCAUAGAUACUCCUAGUUCUCAGUCAAGUUUAAAAAAAAAAAAAAGGAUGUGAUAGAGUAUGGGCAAGAGAAUAAAUGUUAGUUCUGUCCAAAAAGAACCAUUAAUGACCGAAGUGUGCCUUUUAUGUGGCAGAGUAAAUUCUGCCAGGAAAAAAACAGACAGACAAACCAGCAUGUCUUUGAGAAUGGGAAUCACAGUUGAGAGAGCACUGACAUUUUGUGAGUUUAAAAAUAGAUCCUUCCAAUGGAAAGAGGGUCUGCUAAAAAUACAAACCAGCACAGGCCCUGCUGCACUCCAGAGCUGUGACCAGGUUAUUAGGCUACUCAAUAACACCCUAUUUUUAGGGCUGUGGAGCAGGAAACACAGGCUGAGCUUCAGGAGCUCAAACAGGCAUGUAAUGCAAGGGAUCCUCUCUGGAGGCAGAAUCCUCUCCAAAGCACCCAAAAGUAAAGACUUGCGAUCCUGAACAGUCUUCUGAGGCAAAGCAAUGAUGUCCAGCUUUUACAAGGUGCUAAGGUUAAUGGAAAGGGGGGGGUGGGGUGAUGACUGGAUCCAUUCUUGUUUUCCUGGUGGACACACAGCUUGUUAGCACUGGAGGGACCUUGGAGACAGCCUGGUACUGGGCAUUCGAUGUGGAGUGGCCGCCCAGAAUCUGAACCCUCUGAUUCCCCCCAUGGGAACCCUCCCUUUUAGGGGUGUUGAUGGUCUACAGGGCCUGCCCUCCCUAUCUCGGAAGCUGUUUUCCCAGUCCGAUGAGGUGGUCCUCCAAGCCCAUCCCACACCCGCCACAUGCACCGAGCUCAGGAUGUCAGAUACACCUGCUCAGGUUUUUGAGUCGGAAUCUAAUGAUGCAAAGGAAAAGAGAGCAGAGCAUUCUUUCCAAGGGUAGCAGCAAAGACGGUGACAUUCCGUUCUCAAGGACAGCACAGCCAGUGGUGCCCACAGGGGCGUCCCAUGCCCACUGCUGGCAGGGGCACAAGCUGUGACACUCAGCAUUCAAUGGCACCAUAGCUGUCCUGCCUCCAGCGAGUCUGGCCCCUCCCUGGGAUGCUGGCCUUGGUUUUGCUUGUGCGAUCUUCCCUUUUUCCUUGUUCUCCCCAACUGAUUCUUGGGGCUUCCUGGGAAUGAAUACUGUGAGGUGACCGAUAGCCUUUCAAUCAGUUCAUUUUCUGUUUAAAUUACCCAGAGGCAAUAUUUAUUCUUUGCAGCUAAGAACCCUGACUGCAAUAAUAAUCCAUGCCUGUUAUCUUACAGAUGAAAUUAAGAAUGAGAGGGAGGAGUUUCCGGGUGGCCUAGCAGUUAAGGAUCCAGUAUUGUCCUUGCUAUGGCAAGGGGUCAAUCCCUGGCCUAGGGAACUUCUGCACGCUGCUGAUGGGGGUGGUGGGGGCAGAACGACAGGGAAAACACACAGCUAGUUAGCAUCAAAUCCAGGCCUCAAAAGCAGGCCUCCUGUCACAGUGUAGGUGCUAACCCCCACAUGGCACAGCCUUACAGAGCUACAGAGGGCACCUCGAUAUGCCCUGUGCUCUCCUGCUCAGGUGUCACCUCUGCCAUGGCCCACCCACUGAACUGUCUACAUCUUUCCCAAGUCAUUCCUAAUGUCAUAACUCACCUAACCCCGGCCAAUUAUACCCUGCGCCCUUCCAAGUUACAAAGUCUCCUUUCUCCCAAAACUUAUUUAUUUAUUUAUUUAUUGCAUUUUAGGGCUGUACCUGUGGCAUAUGGACAUUCCCAGGCUAGGGGUUGAAUUGGAGCCACAGCAAAGUGGGAUCCGAGCUGCAUCUGCGACCUACACCAGAGCUCAUGCAACACCAGAUCCUUCAUCCUUAGGGAUCCUAAUUGGGUUCUUUAACCAGUGAGCCGCGAAGGCAACUCCAAAGACCAUAUCUAUUGAGGACCUGCUAUGUGCCUGACACCACACCUAUCACCAAGGGUCCUACAGUGAGGAAAACAGAAACGGACCCGGAUAUCAUGAGUAUUCUGUGUAGAGGGGAAGGUAGGAGUGAAUCAAAUAAUCAUGCAAGCGUGUAAUUACACACUGACAAUAACUAAGAAAGAUAAGCUUAGGCUGUUAGGACAGCAUGCAACUGAGAGGUCUGAUCGAGCCCAGAAGUCAAGAAAACCCCUGAGAACGUCGCGUUUGUGAUGAGCUCUGACAUCGAUUAAGUUCACCUGGUGAAAAGAGAAGGGAGACAGAUCCAGGGAGAAGGCUUAGCACUUCUCAGGUCCUGGAACAGAAGCAGGAAAGCAGGACCAGCAGAAGAAAGGCAGUGUGUCAGAGUAAGCUAAGAGUGAGAAGGGCUGGCAUGAGCUGGGGGGAGGGUGGAGCUGGGUCAUUCAGGGCCGUGGGCCUAGUUACAGAUUUUGCUCAGGGCAGCAGGCAACCACUGAAUGAUAUUAAGCAGAGGAACGACACGGGUCAUGCUGUAUUUUGAAAAGACGGCUGUGGCUGCCCUGUGGGGAAUGAAUUGAAGAGGUGACAGUGCACAUAUGCAAACAAAUUAGCUGUCCAUUGCCAUGGCUCCAGGGAGAGGUGAUGGUAGCUUUGAGUUAGGAGAUGGAGUUAGAGGAGAGAUGUGAUGAGACUGGAGAAAUAAUUGAGGAAAAUCCAUAGGACUUGGUAUUUGGAGACACUGGAGAGAAGAUGUUGAGAAUGAUGCUACAUUUCUGGCUGUUUGCCAGAAGAGACACGGUACAAAGGCCUUUGCUGUACAAAACAGUCAAGGGACAGUGUGAGUUUGGUUUUAAAUAAAUUAAAGUUGCAAUACCUUUCAGACAUUCCAAUGGAAAUGUCAAAAUAUAUGGAUAUGAGGCUCAGGAGAAGGGAAUGGGCUAAAGAUGUCCCUUCAGUGUUAUUCUUAUAAAGAUGAUCAUUGAAGCCCUGAGUGCAGGUGAGUUCACUUGGGGAGAGAGUAUAGAUGAACAAGAGAAAGAGGCUUAGGAAAAGACCUUAAGAAUUACACUGCUUCUGGCUUGUCUUGCGGCAGAGCUUGUUUGACCUCUGGCCUGUACAGUGGGUUAAGGAUCCAGCACUGUUAAAGAUCCAACAUUGCCACAACUGUGGCAUAGGUCCCAGCUGUGGCUCAGAUUUGA
This 6500-nucleotide long non-coding RNA is filed under the name Sus scrofa (pig). RNAcentral describes it as "lncRNA (ENSSSCG00000061737.1)". The record is from RNAcentral. Lineage: Eukaryota; Metazoa; Chordata; Mammalia; Artiodactyla; Suidae.